GAUGAACGCUGGCGGCGUGCCUAAUACAUGCAAGUCGAGCGAACGGACGAGAAGCUUGCUUUUCUGAUGUUAGCGGCGGACGGGUGAGUAACACGUGGAUAACCUACCUAUAAGACUGGGAUAACUUCGGGAAACCGGAGCUAAUCCCGGAUAAUAUUUUGAACCGCAUGGUUCAAAAGUGAAAGACGGUCUUGCUGUCACUUAUAGAUGGAUCCGCGCUGCAUUAGCUAGUUGGUAAGGUAACGGCUUACCAAGGCAACGAUGCAUAGCCGACCUGAGAGGGUGAUCGGCCACACUGGAACUGAGACACGGUCCAGACUCCUACGGGAGGCAGCAGUAGGGAAUCUUCCGCAAUGGGCGAAAGCCUGACGGAGCAACGCCGCGUGAGUGAUGAAGGUCUUCGGAUCGUAAAACUCUGUUAUUAGGGAAGAACAUAUGUGUAAGUAACUGUGCACAUCUUGACGGUACCUAAUCAGAAAGCCACGGCUAACUACGUG
RNAcentral lists this ribosomal RNA (497 nucleotides) under uncultured bacterium. Its description in RNAcentral is "partial 16S ribosomal RNA". It matches the Rfam family "Bacterial small subunit ribosomal RNA", at positions 28 to 507 of the family's 1533-position model. The record is from RNAcentral.